This is a long non-coding RNA of Argiope bruennichi, 485 nucleotides long. RefSeq lists it as uncharacterized. The transcript is spliced from 3 exons. NCBI's taxonomy places the organism in Eukaryota, Metazoa, Arthropoda, Arachnida, Araneae, Araneidae. The record is from RefSeq and is a predicted model, not a curated record.
CACAUAACCGGCGAAACGAAGUUAUUGAAAUAUUUAAAACUUUUUGGAUACUGAAAAUUCAGCAACGGAGGCACUCCUUCUCUAAAGGAUGAGGGUGGGUUGUUGGAGAGUUGUGAGUGCCGUGCUGAAUUUUCACUGUCCUUCGCAGUUCAAGCCUCUUUAUUGCAGAGUAAGUAAUAAUUCUAUGUUUGAUUUAUUAAUUGUCGCUCUUUUUAAUCUGUAUUCUUUCUCAUUUUUAGGGAAUGAUUAUGGCGAGUAGAAAGGCCAAACCAGUGGAAGGAAGAGAAUCCUUACUCAGAAAAUCGAAUGAAGGAAGCACAAAACCGCGGAAACGAAGAAAUUGAAAUAUUUAAAACUGUUUGGAUACUGAAAAUUCAGCAACGGAGGCACUCCUUCUCUAUAGGAUGAGGGUGGGUUGUUGGAGAGUUGUGAGUGCCGUGCUGAAUUUUCACAGUUCUUCGCAGUUCAAGCAUCUUUCCUGCAGA